AGAGCGAACGCUGGCGGCAGGCCUAACACAUGCAAGUCGAACGGACCCUUCGGGGUUAGUGGCGGACGGGUGAGUAACACGUGGGAACGUGCCUUUAGGUUCGGAAUAGCUCCUGGAAACGGGUGGUAAUGCCGAAUGUGCCCUUCGGGGGAAAGAUUUAUCGCCUUUAGAGCGGCCCGCGUCUGAUUAGCUUGUUGGUGAGGUAAUGGCUCACCAAGGCUACGAUCAGUAGCUGGUCUGAGAGGAUGACCAGCCACAUUGGGACUGAGACACGGCCCAAACUCCUACGGGAGGCAGCAGGUGGGGAAUCUUGCGCAAGUGGGCGAAAGCCUGACGCAGCCAUGCCGCGUGUAUGAUGAAGGUCUUAGGUAUUAGUAAAAUUACUUACGACGGUAGAAGAUAAUGACUGUAGCCGGAAGAGAACGACCCG
This 430-nucleotide ribosomal RNA is filed under the name uncultured soil bacterium. RNAcentral describes it as "bacterial SSU rRNA". It matches the Rfam family "Bacterial small subunit ribosomal RNA", at positions 26 to 496 of the family's 1533-position model. The record is from RNAcentral.